Molecule: transfer RNA, 87 nt
Filed under: Microbotryum lychnidis-dioicae p1A1 Lamole
Lineage: Eukaryota; Fungi; Basidiomycota; Microbotryomycetes; Microbotryales; Microbotryaceae
Description: tRNA-Ala for anticodon AGC
Rfam family: tRNA
About the family: Transfer RNA (tRNA) molecules are approximately 80 nucleotides in length.
Source: Rfam by way of RNAcentral
GGGGAUGUAGCUCAGGGGUAGAGCGCUUGCUUAGCAUCAUCUUAUGUGAUGUGCAUGAGGUCCCGGGUUCGAUUCCCUGCCUCUCCA